UUGUAAUAAAAAUGUAGAAAAUCGACAGACAAAUUUAAUUCAGUUAAAUAAUGUUACGACGCUGUCAUAUUUGUUUCGGUAUUAUACUAGAAACGUAGAGAGAAUGUUGAAUUUCCCGCGCCAUAGUCACGAGGAUCUGUCUACAAGCGAGAAUCAACAAUACACAAAAAAAAGAAAACUUAACUCACAGGAAUG
Frieseomelitta varia is the source of this 195-nucleotide long non-coding RNA. RefSeq lists it as uncharacterized. The transcript is spliced from 3 exons. The record is from RefSeq and is a predicted model, not a curated record. Lineage: Eukaryota; Metazoa; Arthropoda; Insecta; Hymenoptera; Apidae.